This is a non-coding RNA of Lepisosteus oculatus (spotted gar), 3501 nucleotides long. Lineage: Eukaryota; Metazoa; Chordata; Actinopteri; Semionotiformes; Lepisosteidae. The record is from RefSeq and is a predicted model, not a curated record.
GCAAAAGGUCGCUUGUGAUUGGUUUGAUGGAAAGAUGGUUAUUAUGGCAUUGCUGGGAGAGAGGUUGAUGGUAGAAGGUUUUUAACAAAGCCUGACGUCUCUGCUCUUGCCUCUUAACAUGGUGUGGAAGACGGUGGGUUUUGUGAUCUGGGUGUUGUGGGCGCCUAGUACUUUUUACUCCACGACGCAUGGGACCAAGCUGAUAGAAUGCACACAAGAACGAUUUUAUGGCAUCCAAAACUCGGGAAAAACAUCGUUCGUUUAUUUUGGAAAUAAAGUCAAUCCAACCAUUAGACUUUUCCUUGAGAAGUUUGAAAAGUCUGCAGAGGCACUUGAAGAUUAUGGCAUUUUAGUUGCUAAGGUAAAUUGCUCCAGGGUGGAGGUGCCAAAAUAUUGCACUGGUGGAGACAUCUCAAAGAAGGUGUAUUUAUUCCGAGGCGGUGAAAUUCUGAAGAUCUUCGCUAUCGACACUGUUUUUGAUGUUGAUGCUAUUGUGGCUCAUGUACUCUUCACCGUCAUCUUCAAUGAGGUGAAGUAUGUUCAGACGCCUGCAGAACUGCUCCACAUCGAGAAAGCAGCGAAGGGGAGGGCAGACGUCGUGCUCGCUCACGUCGUGGCCCUGGGAAUACCUGAGCACAGGGCUGUGAUGGAGACUGCUUUUGUCUAUGGGGCCAAGUAUCAGUUUGUGCUGACAACAGGAGGCACAGUGCUGGAGCACUUGGGAGUGAAGGAUCCUGCUUCUCUCCCAGCCGGCCUGUGGUUCCUGCACUGUAAGGCCGUGGCUCACAGGUCCGAGGGCUGUGACCGCACUGCCCUGAGGAGGCCCCUGACCACCAUCAACAUUUACACCUUUCUUCAGCUCAUGGAGGCUCCGCUUGUGACAGAGGCAUCUGUGGAGCCAUCCCAGGUCAGGACAGUGCACAGCCGCCUCCACACCCCACUGCUGUUCGUCUUCACUCAGCGAGAGACCCUUGACCUGGACAGGAACACUGCCCUCUCCCUCGCCCGGCGGCUGAGGGGACAGGCUGGCCUCGUCCUCUUGCACAGGGAUAACCCAGCAGUGAACAUCCCUGUGGAGUAUAAUGUGGCAUACCGGGUGCCCGGAGAGGGUUCCCCUGUCGAGUAUCUGACUUUGAAGAACUUAGAUGAAGCUGUGAGAAUUUUCCAAGAACAAAACCCGCUGGAAGAGGAAGAGGAGGGGGAAGAUGAGGAAGAACAACAUUGGUCUGUUUUAGACAUUUUGGAUGAUGAGGUAGCAGAAUCCGUUUACAGAGACAGAGACUUGGAGCUAAACUUUGAUCUGGUCCCAGAACUGACUGCGGAAACAAUCAGCACUGCAGUAGCUGGAAAUGGCCACACGGUGGUGAUCUUCUAUACUAGUUGGGAUGCUGUGUCCAUGGCUUUUAUGCGGUCUUAUCUUGAGGUAGCUAACAUGCUGAAAGAUGUGACAGGUGUGCAGCUGGCCCGUGUGGACUGUGGAGAGUGGACAGAUGUGUGCAGCAAUCAGAAUGUCUCACAUUUUCCGACAGUGAAGUUGUUCCACCCCAGUGAACUGCCACAGCUUUACAGAGGCAUGCUGGGAACUGAGAGUCUUUACAGGUUCAUAAUGCUGGGUCGGGAAGCUGUCCCUCUCCUCCUGUCCAAUGAAGAUGAAGUGCAGUCCUAUCUUGGUGGGGAGCUUUACCAGAGAUAUGCAGCCUUCUCUCCAGUCACUGUUCUGGGCCUCUUCAGCUCCAGCCAGGAUCAAGGAAGUGCUCUGUUCGGUGAAGCUGCAAAGAUGCUCAGGGGUGAGGUGUUUAUGGGCGUCUUCACAGAGGAGGAAGCAGCCAAGUGGGCUCAGAAUUAUGCAGUGAAACUACCAGCAAUGCUUGUUUGCAGAGGUCCAGAUUCCCGCAUAGAAGCCUUCACCCUUCAGAUUUCAGGAACUGAGGAGAUGGUCUCCACUAUCCAGAGAGCUGUGCUUGACAAAUUUCCGGAGCUGACAGUAGAGAACUUGCCGGCUUACCUGGAGCUGGGAAAGCCUCUGCUGAUGCUGUUUGUGGAGGAAGAAGAUGGAAAGAGUGAAGGCAUUCGACGGGAGCUGCAGAGCCUGCUGGGUAAAGGGCAGCUGGACUCCUACCUUCCCUGCUGGAUACAUUUGGGCCGAACGCCAGCUGGGAAGGCUAUCCUAGAGUCAUAUCUGGGUUCUGUCCCGCUGCUCCCGGUCUUGCUGCUGUCAGAGCUGGGCUCUGGUGGUGAGGUGUUUGAGUUUCCCCCUGGAAAGCCCAUGUUGGCCGACUCUAUUCUACAUUGGCUCAGCAGAGUGAAGAGAAAAGAAGAGCAGCCUGCAGGGGUAAUAGCAGAUGAGAAGUGGGCCCCCCCUGUGCCCUUCUAUGACUUUCUGGCGAUCAUGGACAAGGAGGUGCCAGGUUUUGCAACUCAGAGGACCCCCAAAUCAAAGGACAUGUUUCAAGAGGUGGAGGAGAAAGAUUUGGAGGGCAAAGUGGGACCUUCCCCACCCCAGUCAGACAACUGCAAUUAUCCCCUGGGCUAGUCAGUCUUGUGAUAGGUGCGUACCAACACCUCACCUCAGAGCUGCCAGCGAUCAUUCCUGAUCUGUUCUGCUUCUUCGCUUGCUAAACAACAGAGAAGCUUUGUGGGGACAGAUACUGUUGUGCCACUGGAGUUACAGAGGGAAACAAAGUCAAGAUAACCUGGGGAAGACGACCGCUUCUGCAUGCAUGUCUUAUGGUCUUCAUCUUGUCUGAUAAUAAAAUAAUGUACAACUAAGGACUGGCGUCACAUCCAGAAUGUACUCCUGCCUUGUGCCUGCCGGGUUAGGUUCUGGCUGACCACAACCCUCUAGGAAGAAAUGGUUACUGAAGAUGGAUGAAUGGAAAAAGCAUGUAUGUCAUACAUACAUCUGGGUGGACGUGGGUGAGUACCGGUGGUUUUGCCACAGGGAGGAACAGAGGUUGUGUCCUCUGUUCCUCUGUCUAGUGAUGCAGCUUGUGUGAUUAUUUUCUUACAUUCAUUUCAAAUUUUGUUCAUGAUGGAUGGUGUGGGACAUGACCAUUCGGACAAACUCACUGGUUAGAUUACUAUGAUGACUUGAUAGCAUUACCUGUCAUCACUUGUCCUCUAACAAGUGGCGUCAUUCACAGACAACAAUGGCUUAACACCACAGUUUUGCUCUUAUGAACAGCUCACUGUGUUAGGUCAGAGGAGCAUCACAAACAAAAGUAAAAAACGUGGUUUGGACCACCAACAAUCUGAGAAAAACUCAGUUUUUCUGUGCCUACUUUGGCCAGUAUAAAAUUUAAAUGAUUUUUACCCAUUCUCCACAAAACACAAAGAGGUGACUGGGCAAUUAAGGGAUUGACUGGACUUGGCUCUAGUGUCCAAAAGCUUCCCUCUCCCAAAACAAUUCACUAUUACAUAUCUAUUCACAGUAAAAUGUGCUUGAUGGCCUGUUACUGUUCUUCAUAUAUGCUUAUAUUUAUACUUCCACAUACACACAUA